This is a long non-coding RNA of Tyto alba (common barn owl), 606 nucleotides long. RefSeq lists it as uncharacterized. Lineage: Eukaryota; Metazoa; Chordata; Aves; Strigiformes; Tytonidae. The record is from RefSeq and is a predicted model, not a curated record. The transcript is spliced from 3 exons.
AAGCCCUGGCAUGCUUCUCUCCUACCCCGUGCUGCAGCGGAGUUUGGAGCUGGGAACAUUCUGCACAGCCAACACAGCAUGGAACUCUUGAGACGUGGAGGCGGAGGAUGGGAAACCUCAUGGGAGGCCCCAUGCUGAUCAUGAUGAUGACUACUGUGUCCACUGGAAACAGAGCCAAAGAAAACUGGGCAGAUGAAGUCUUCCACUGGAGCAAAAGUCAUCAGUUACACUGAAAUCAUUCAAAGCAGAGCAUGAAAAGUGCACACACUAUCAAAAGUACAUAGCGAAGAUGGCAAGAGUGCAGAAAGUAGAAGCUAAGACGCAGAUCUAUUGAUAAACCCAAGAGAACAAACAAAGCAAGGUCAGUUCGGGUGCCUGAGAACAGAUUGCAGCAUAGUCUGGAAGGUGGGAAAAACCCAAGGUUUUACUUACAGCCUUUUUGUAUAUAAAUAGGAGGAGAGUAUUGCCACAAAAAUAGAAAAGCCAAGCAACUGGACAGAAACGUAACACUAAGUCCUGGGAUAGCAGCAAAGAAGUGACUGAACUUAUCUACUUCAAUGUGAUUGGAAUCCAAUCGUAAAUAAAAUACAAGAUUAAUUUUCAAAA